UAGUGGCGGACGGGUGAGUAACGCGUGGGUAACCUCGCCUCACACAGGGGGAGUAACAGUUGGAAACGACUGUUAAUACGCAUAAGCGCACAGUACCGCAUGGUACAGUGUGAAAACUCCGGUGGUGUGAGAUGGACCCGCGUCUGAUUAGCUAGUUGGUGAGGUAACGGCCCACCAAGGCGACGAUCAGUAGCCCGGCCUGAGAGGGUGUACGGCCACAUUGGGACUGAGACACGGCCCAAACUCCUACGGGAGGCAGCAGUGGGGAAUAUUGCACAAUGGGGGAAACCCUGAUGCAGCGACGCCGCGUGAGUGAUGAAGUAUCUCGGUAUGUAAAGCUCUAUCAGCAGGGAAGAUAAUGACGGUACCUGACUAAGAAGCACCGGCUAAAUGCGUGCCAGCAGCUGC
RNAcentral lists this ribosomal RNA (408 nucleotides) under uncultured bacterium. Its description in RNAcentral is "bacterial SSU rRNA". It matches the Rfam family "Bacterial small subunit ribosomal RNA", at positions 93 to 518 of the family's 1533-position model. The record is from RNAcentral.